CCGGAUUUAGUGCUACAUGUGGUAUUUUAAUAGAAAAGGCUGCGAGACAGUGUUUGGAUCCCCGUUUUUUCAUGUUGUCUGCAAAUCUCAAAAGUGAGUGUUAAACUUUAACCUUACCUGUUCGCUGCAAUAAAAAUACAGAUUUGUUAAAAAGUUAUGUUUGUUAUAACAGUAAGAAUAUGCUUACCUAGUUUUGCUAUGAACAUUUGUAAUUGUCAUGGUCCUGGGUUGCUGAAUCAGUGUUUUGAGUUUAUUUUCUAGUUUCUUCUGUUUUUGUAUUCGCUCUUAGGGGCUGGGUCUUGUGUUUAGUGUUUCUGUUAUCCCUCCCUGUUUCCUUUCCUGGUGUUCUUAUUUUGAAUGGUAAAUGGCCUGGAUUUAUAUAGCGCUUUACUAGUCCCUAAGGACCCCAAAGCGCUUUACAUAUCCAGUCAUCCACCCAUUCACACACUGGUGAUGGUAAGCUACAUUGUAGCCACAGCCACCCUGGGGCGCACUGACAGAGGCGAGGCUGCCGGACACUGGCGCCACCGGGCCCUCUGACCACCACCAGUAGGCAACGGGUGAAGUGUCUUGCCCAAGGACACAACGGCCAAGACUGUCCAAGCCGGGGCUCGAACCAGCAACCUUCCGAUUACAAGGCGAACUCCCAACUCUUGAGCCCCAAGAUUAAGUUAACUUUCGUUUAUGUUUGAAAUUAUUGGGUUGAUUUUUGUUUAUAUUUUUCAACGAAAUAAACGCCAGAACUUAAAAGGCCGUGACACUGGUACUCAUUUCUUGUCGUCUCACUGCCCUCGUUCUUUUCGCCUCCGUGCUCCCCUGGUUCAUCUUCGCUCACUUCAUCUGCACUUGGCUAGUUUUAUUCUUCUUCGCUUGCACAGCCAAGACGAACUUCAUGGAAAGUCCUUGUGGAGAAUGGCUUCAUCGAGCCACUGUUGGCCUCAUUUGGUAUUUCGACUGGUUUAAUUUUGCCGAGGUGAAGACGCGGUACAGGACUGCGCCGUUUCACCGGUUUAUACUGAGUGAUAUUUGCAUCCUCUGUGCUGUGUGGUGCUGGAAGAUGAGCACACAUCCUCCUGAUUUUGUGAAAGAGCCCGUGUCAGCUUUAAUUAUUGCUGCCAGAAUCUCCUCCAAUGAUUACAUCCCGCGGUUAAAGGAUUUUUCUGUUGUUUAUUGUUUAGUUUAACUGUUGUUAGCUUGCCACAUUCUUGCCUUAGUACUAGCAACUGGGAAGAUAUGUGCUAUUUAGCCAACUUCUGGUCUUACAGCGACCCCUUGUGGACCCUACUAAUUAUAGUAUUACCUGUUUCUGUUUCCAGACAACCAUGCUUAUAGUCACCUAUACUGCAUCUGCCACAAUUAUAAGUGCAUAUCUGGCUGUAUCACGGUUGGAUUAAUCAUGGCAAGCCCUGCUGUAACCAGUUCUUCUGUGAAGCUUCAUUAAAGACGGUGAACUAAACUCCUGGACUGCUGCAGUCUUUCUGACCCAAGACUUAGGCCAGACUUGUAUACCCAGCACUUCCAGUUCAUAUAUAUUCUACACAAAUGUUUAUCAGUUGAAGAAUCAGACUCCUUUUAAACAUUAUAUUUGUACUAAAUGUGUAUGUAAAUAUGGUGUCUGUAUAUUUAAUGCCUAUAUUUGUGACUGUGUUUCUGUUGUAGUUUAUUCCUGUAUGAAUGUUAAAUACUUGACUGAAAGUAUUCAAAAUGUAUUUGCAUUGCUUUACAGAAAAAGGGAAAAAUCGUAGGACUGUGGGGGAAAGAGUGAUUACCUCAGUUAAACAACUCGUGUAAUUAUAUUAGGUUCAUCUUUAAGGAACUCUGCAUGUCUCCAAACAGCUUUGAAUGUCUUUGAAAUGAGAAUAAUACAAAUAGAAAAAGAAAAAAAUGGACACAUGCAGACAAAGUAAAGAGAUGAAUAUUCAGUAAGCUAUAAAGAUUCAAAGGUCUCUCAGUUUUUCUCAAAUGUGUGUGAGGACUGCUUGUUUGUAUUCUUGGAUGCACUUAGUAAAUCCAACAGCUCAGCUAUUUGUUGUUUGUUGUUUUUAAAAGUUGCAGGAAGAACAAACUUCUUAAAUAGUAAAUGAAACAAAGCACAAAUGCAAAGUUGUUGUUUUUUUUUCAUUUUUAUUUUUUUAUUUUUUUUCUGUUUUUUAACUCAAAAAGUCCAGUUACAACAGGACAUUUUGAGUUAAGAAACAGACCAAAUCUCAACAACACUUCCCUCAUGGUGCUUUAUAAUGUAAAGUCAAGACCCUACAAUAAUGCACAAAGACUCCAAUCCCCUAGAGCAAGCACUUUGGCGACAGUGGGAAGGAAAAACUCACUUUUAAAAGAGAGAAACCUCCGGCAGACCCAGGCUCUAGGAUGGGGUGGCCAUCUGCCUCAGCCAGUUGGUGAUGAGGGAAGGAAGUUGGGAGAAGAAGAGUAGUGAUUUUUAACCACUCUGGUUUCAAAAUUAAAUUUAGAAAGCCCAAUUGAAAUGAAUAUUCACAUGCACGUGUUGGUUCGAUUUUAGCGUGCACAUGAGAAAGCCCUAAAGAUGAUGUUUUGGCUCCUCAAUUUUGCAUGUUUUUUGAAGCUGCUGACGAUUGCUUCAUCCAUUACUGGGUUUCUUGACCACAUUAAGAGCAUUGGAGAAUCCCACCUGUCAUGGAGUUCAUUGUAUAUUGUCAGGGCGAGUUCUCCAAUGUUCUCCAAGGACAUUUUGUACUUUUUUGACAAAAUUUUGUCCCAGAUCUUCUGGAAAAGCCUC
Long non-coding RNA from Astatotilapia calliptera (eastern happy), 2752 nucleotides. The record is from Ensembl. Lineage: Eukaryota; Metazoa; Chordata; Actinopteri; Cichliformes; Cichlidae.